RNAcentral lists this long non-coding RNA (1267 nucleotides) under Taeniopygia guttata (zebra finch). Its description in RNAcentral is "lncRNA (ENSTGUG00000020435.1)". Lineage: Eukaryota; Metazoa; Chordata; Aves; Passeriformes; Estrildidae. The record is from RNAcentral.
UUUUUAGUUCAUGACUGACAUUCUCAUUCAUCCUUGAUAAAUUAAUGCUCUGAUUUCUUAUACAGUGGCAAGCUUUCUGUUAUUUUGUACAAUCUCUGGAAGAUAGGAAACCCCUGAUGAUAAAGGAAAUAGAAUAACUGAACAGUAUUGAAAGAAACAUCUGUGAUAAUAUUCCCCAUGCUACUAUGGAACUCAAAAAGAUAUGGGGGCAUUUACUCAUGUAAGGGAAAAGGGUCAUCUAAAUAUUUAAAUAUUGUGAAGAAAAUAGAAUGUUUCCAGCUCCAUGCUCCCCAGGAUAACUGAGAUGCAGUGUUGCAAUAACCUUCGAGAGACAGACAGAAAGGAAAUGGUUUUCUUGAUCUGCAUAGGGAUGUGGAGAACAAUGAGGCACAGGCAGUAAAUCUAAAUUAUCUUGCAACAGUAAAAAGUCAGAAGACUUCUCCCUAGCCCUCAGAGAAAUGGAAAGACAGUCAGGUGAAGAUGUAUCAUACCAUUCUAGGAAUGGUUUGGGUUGAAUGGUUUGGGUUGAAAGGAAUCUUAGAGAGCAUCUAGAUUCAACUCCCCUGCCCUGGGCAGGGCCACCUUCCACUGAACCAGCUUUCUCAAAGCCCCGUAUCCAACCUGACCUUGAACAUUUCCAGGGACACCCACUGGGACACACCAUCCAGGACACUUCUCGGAGAAAUCUGUGCCAGUGCCUCACCAAUCUAAACCUAACCUCAUCAAAUUUAAAGGCAGUAACCCAUGCCCUUGUAAAAGGUCUGUCUUCAGUUUUCAGGUCUGUCUUCUGUCUUUAGGCCAUCAUUAGGUACUGUCUUCCUGGAGCCUUCUCUUCUCCAGGCUGUACAACCCCAGUUGUCUCAGCCUUUCCUCAUAGAAGAGAUGUUCCAUCCCUGUAAUCAUUCUUGUGGCCCUUCUUUGGAACUCACUCCAACAGAUCUGUGAAUUGUUUUUGUAUCUUUAUAUCCUUGAUUUUUUUUUUAAAUCUUUAUUUUCUUGGCUCUUUUAAAAGCCAGCAUCAGGAAGGAGAAAAGCAGUAACCUAGGUAUGAAUAUUGUGCUCCUCAAAUAUAAGGGGACAUUGAACUCUAUGUUUGAAAAUUUAUCUCUGUUUAUGGCAGAAAGAGAUGAAAAUAGGCCAGUACAGUAGGAUGGAUUCAAACCCCAGUAAAGUCAAUAGGAAAUAAUGACAAACUACGUGUCUCUAGAUUAAGUUUUAAAUGUUCAUUAAAGCUUUGUACCAAAAAAAAAAAAAAAAAAAAAAAAAA